CGCCUUGUGACGACUAAGU
This 19-nucleotide microRNA is filed under the name Chlamydomonas reinhardtii. RNAcentral describes it as "cre-miR1154-3p". Lineage: Eukaryota; Viridiplantae; Chlorophyta; Chlorophyceae; Chlamydomonadales; Chlamydomonadaceae. The record is from miRBase by way of RNAcentral.